CAUAUACAGCCACGCCCAUGGGGUGGUCUCAGCCUCAAAACACGCCCUAGGUGCGCGGAUUCUGUCCUAGAGCUCAAUCCGUUGCAGUGGGCGGGAACUCCUCCCACCCCAGAGGUUCCGCCAAUUCCUGGAAUGUCCCAUCUCUUCCGGACUCAGAGUGGUGGUGGUGGUAGCUCCCGCCACUGCUGGGGCGGCCCCAGUUCUCCGAGGCCAGCGGGGCUCAACGAGGGGUGGGGCGGUCACAGGCCGGGGCGGAGCUCUAAGGGCAGCGGGUAGGGUCGUUUUGACACCGUCUCCUGCCCCAUGGAGGUAGCUCCGAAGGCCGGUGGACCUCGGAGACCUAGGUAGGGGCUCCCGACGUUUUCAUCCCGAGAGUCCGGGACCCCCGAUGGUCCCGCCGCCAGACUCCUCUGCCGACGCCGGUCUGGGGUCCCACUGCCAUGGUGGGCGAGUUGCACCCCCUCCCAGUGCCUCAGUUUCCCUAUUUAUUUUAUUUUUGGCUGUGUUGUGUUUUCAUUGUUGCACGUGGGCUUUCUGUAGUUGCGGUGAGCGGGGGCUACUCUUCCUUGUGGUGCGCGGGCUUCUCAUUGCCGUGGCCUCUCUUUGUCGUGGAGCACAGGCUCUAGGCGCGUGGGCUUCAGUAGUUGUGGCACGCAGGUUCAGUAGUUGUGGCUCGCGGGCUCUAGAACGCAGGCUCAGUAGUUGUGGCGCACGGCCUUAGUUGCUCCAUGGCAUGUGGGAUCUUCCCGGACCAGGGCUCGAACUCGUGUCCCCUGCAUUGGCAGGCGGAUUCUUAACUACUAUGCCACCAGGGAAGCCCAAGCCUGGCUCUCUUUAAGCCUUCCUCAAUAUCACCAAACCUAGUUUCUUUCUUUCUUUCUCUUUUUUUUUUUUUUGCCCCCACCUCCGCUUGCGUGAUCUUAGUUCCCCAACCAGGGAUGGAACCUGUGCUCCCAGCAGUGAAAGCACCAAGUCCUAACCACUGGCCGCCAGGGAAUUCCCUCAGUAUCACCGCACCUAAGCCAAAUCACUACUGGAGGACUCAGCUUACAACCAAGGAGUCAACUUCUAAACAGGAUAUUUUUGGAGAAAAGACAUUUGAGGGCAUAAAAAUGAACCAGAGACUCUGCGUCUGUGAUCACGGCCGGGCUCGUGCUGGGGAAGGCCCUAUGGGGCGGAAGAGCCUCCAGGAGGAGCCCAGAUGUGACGUGGCACAAGCGCCGGCAGGAAACUUGGGAAGUCCGUCAUCCUUCCGGAAGCGCGUGAGAACCCACCAGGGGGAGGCCCUGCAAGGAUGCCCAGUGCUCAGAGCCUUCAGCCCACACAAAACAUAUUAAUAGUUCUACAGUGAAAUGUAGAAAGAGUCAUCCUAAGUGGAAUAAAUAACACUACAAAGUGCUGUACAAAAGUUGAGGUCAGAUUUUCCCAAAAAUUAAUGCAGAAAUGAUCUUACAUUCCUGCAAAAUGAGUUGCCAAAAUUACACAUUCAAAGACUUGUGGAUUUUGGAAUUGCAGAUAAGGGUUGGGGGAGCUCUAUAAAAUUUCUAAACCUGUAUGCACCUAAUAACUUGGCCUCAAAAUACUGUAAGAAAAAAAAAAAAAAUUAAAGGAGAAACUGCAAAAUUCACAGUCAAAAUGGGAGAUUUAGGCACAACUCUCUGAGUAAGAGUAAGUUCCAGCAGUUAAAAAUGAGUUUCCACAGUUGUUUUUCAGGUUUUCUCAUAGCUUGAUCUAAUGAACUUACAUAAAACUAUUAAACCAACAAUUAGAAAAUACACAAUCGUAACAAACCCACAUGGAGAGUUUAUGUUAAAGUAACAACAUAUUGGACGCAUCAGGGAUUGCAAGCAUCCUUAAAACAAUGGCUUCAAGAGGGAUCUAUAGGGACUUCCCUUGUGGUCCAGUGGGUAAGACACCGGGCUCCCAAUGCAUGGGGCCCGGGUUUGAUCCCUGGUCGGAGAGCUAGAUCCCACAUGCAUGCUGCAACUAAGAGUUCACAUGCCACGAUGAAGAAGUCCACAUGCUGCAGCUAAGAGUACACAUGUUGCAACGAAGAUCCCACGUGCUGCAAUGAAGACCUGGCUCAGCCAAAAUAGAUAAAUAAAUAAUUUUUUUGUUUUUAAAGAGAAAUCUAUGUAGUGACAAACAGCAGUGUGGGGACUUCCCUGGUGGCACAGUGGUUAAGAAUCCACCUGCCAAUGCAGGGGACACGGGUUCGAGCCCUGGUCUGGGAAGAUCCCACAUGCCACAGAGCAGCUAAGCCCGUGCGCCACAACUACUGAGCCUGCGCUCUAGAGCCCACGAGCCACAACUACUAAAGCCCACAUGCCUAAAGCCCAAGCUCCACAACAAGAGAAACCACUGCAAUGAGAAGCCCACACAGCACAACAAAGAGUAGCCCCCACUCACUGCAACUAGAGAAAGGCCGCGUGCAACAACGAAGACCCAACGCAACCAAAUAAAUAAAUAAAACAAACAAACAAAAAACAGCAGUGUGACCUGAUUUUGGUGGCAGGUGCAAGAACCUACACACAUGGUAAAAUGGCACAGGACUCCACACACGUAAACACACACACACACACACACACACACACACACACACACACACACACACAUACAAAUGUGUGCACGUGAAACUGGCGAAAUCUGAAUAAGGCCUUUGUAUUGUACCAAAGCCAAUCUCCUGGUUUUGACACCACACUGCAGUUACAUAAGAUGUUACCGCUGGGGGAAGCUGGGGAAAAUGCACACGAGAGGUCUUUAUACUAUUACUGCAUCUUCCAUUGACAGAUGAACAGAUAAAAAUGUGGUACACAUAUACAAUGGAAUACUACUCGACCAUAAAAAAGAAUGAAAUAAUGCCAUUUGCAGCAACAUGGAUGGACCUAGAGAUUCUCAUACUAAGUGAAGUAAGUCUGAAAGAGAAAGACAAAUACCCAAUGAUGUCACUCAUAUGUUGAAUCUAAAACAGGACACAGAUGUACUUACCUACGAACCAGAAACAGACUCGCAGACAUAGAGAACAGACCUGUGGUUGCCAAGGGGGAGAGGGGAUGGGGAAGGGCUGGACUAGGAGUUUGGGAUUAGCAGAUGCAGACUAUAAUACAUAGAAUGGAUAAACAACAGGUCUUACUGUACAGCACAGGGAACUAUUUUCAAUGUACAGCAGUAACAAUGUCCUGUGAUAAACCAUAAUAGAAAAGAAUAGGAAAAAGAAUGUAUAUAUACAUUCCUUAACAUGGGAAAGGAAAUAGUUACUCAAGUCCAGGAAGCACAGAGUCCCAUACAGGAUAAACCCUAGGAAAAACACAUCAUGGCACAUAUUAAUCAAACUAACAAAAAUUAAAUUCAAGGAAAACUUAUCAAAAGCAGUGAGGGAAAAACAAAAAAUAACAUACAAAGGAAUCCCCAUAAUGUUGUCAACUGAUUUUUCAGCAGAAACUCUGCAGGCCAGAAGGGAGUGGCAGGAUAUACUUAAAGUGAUGAAAGAGAAAAACCUACAACCAAGAUUACUCUACCAGCAAGGAUCUCAUUCAAAUUCGAUGGAGAAAUCAAAAGCUUUUCAGACAAGCAAAAGCUAAGAGAACUCAGCACCACCAAACCAGCUUUACAAGAAAUGCUGAAGAAACUUCUCUAGGCAGGAAACACAAGAGAAGAAAAAGACCCACAAAAACAUACGCAAAGGGAUUUCCCUGGUGGCACAGUGGUUAAGAAUCUGCCUGCCAAUGCAGGGGACACAGGUUUGAGCCCUGGUCCGGGAAGAUCCCACAUGCCAUGGAGCAGCUAGGCCCGUGUGCCAUAACUACUGUGCCUGUGCGCAACAACGACUGAAGUCCGCAUGCCUAGAGCCCGUGCUCUGCAACAAGAGAAGCCACUGCAAUGAGAAGCCCAUGCACCACACAAAGAAGUUGCUGCAACUAGGGAAAGCCCGUGCACAACAAAAAAGACCCAGUGCAGCCAAAGAUACAUAAAUUAAAUAAAUAAAUUAAACAAACCCCAAACAAUUAAGAAAAUGGUAAUAGAGACAGGCAUAUCGAUAAUAACCUUGAAUGUAAAUGGAUUAAAUGCCCCAAACAAAAAACACAGACUGGCUGAAUGGAUACAGAACAAGACUCAUAUAUAUGCUGUCUACAAGAGACCCACUUCAGACCUAGGGACACAUACAGACUGAAAGUGAAGGGAUGGAAAAAGAUAUUCCAUGCAAAUGGAAAUCAAAAGAAAGCUAGAGUAGCAAUAGUCGUAUCAGAUAAAGUAGACUUUAAAAUAAAGACUGUUAACAAGAGAUAAGAAGGGACACUACAUAAUUAUCAAAGGAUCAAUCCAAGAAGAAGAUAUAAGAACUAUAAAUGUUUAUGCACCCAGUAUAGGAGCUCCUCAAUACAUAAGGCAAAUGCUAACAACCAUGAAAGGAGAAAUCGACAGUAACACAUUAAUAGUAGGGGACUUUAACACCCCACUUACACAAAUGGACAGAUCAUCCAAACAGAAAAUAAACAAGGAAACACAAGCUUUAAAUGACACAAUAGACCAGAUAGGUCUAAUUGAUAUUUAUAGAACAUUCCACCCAAAAGUGGCAGAAUACACUUUCUUCUCAAGGGCACACAGAACAUUCUCCAGGAUAGAUCACAUCUUGGGUCACAAAUCAAGCCUCGGAAAAUUUAAGAAAAUUGAAAUCAUAUCAAGCAUCUUUUCUGACCACAACACUAUGGGAUUGGAAAUCAAUUACAGGAAAAAAUACUGUAAAAAUCACAAAUACAUGGGGGCUAAACAGUGUGCUACUAAAUAACCAAGAGGUCACUGAAGAAAUCAAAGAAAAAAUAAAAAAAUACAUAGAAACAAAUGACAGUGAAAACUUGACGACCCAAAACCUAUGGGAUGCAGCAAAAGGAGUUCUAAGAGGGAAGUUUAUAGCAAUUCAAUCUCACCUCAAGAAACAAGAAAAAUCUCAAAUAAACAGUCUAACCCUACACUUAAAACAACUAGAGAAAGAAGAACAAAGAAAAUCCAAAGUCAGUAGAAGGAAAGCAAUCAUAAAGAUCAGAGCAGAAAUAAAUGAAAUAGAAAUGAAGAAAACAAUAGCAAAGAUCAAUAAAACUAAAAGCUGGUUCUUUGAGAAAAACAAAAUUGAUAAACCCUUAGCUAGACUCAUCAAGAAAAAAAGGGAGAGGAUGCAAAUCAGUAAAAUCAGAAAUGAAAAAGAAGAAAUCACAACUGACACUGCAGAAAUACAAAGGGUUAUAAGAGACUAUUACAAACAACUAUAUACCAAUAAAAUGGACAACCACGAAGAAAUGGACAAAUUCUUGGAAAGGUACAAUUUUCCAAGACUGAACCAGGAAGAAUUAGAAAAUAUAAACAGACCUAUCACAAGUAAUGAAAUUGAAACCGUAACUACAAAUCUUCCAACAAACAAAAGUCCAGGACCAGAUGGCUUCACAGGCAAAUUCUAUCAAACAUUUAGAGAGGAGCUAACACCGAUCCUUCUCAAACUCUUCCAAAAACUUGCAGAGGGAGAAACACUCUCAAAUUCAUUCUAUGAAGCCACCAUCACCCUGAUACCAAAACCAAAAAAAGAUACCACAAAAAAAGAAAAUUAUAGACCAGUAUCACUGAUGAACAUAGAUGCAAAAAUGCUGAACAAAAUACUAGCAAACAGAAUCCAACAGCACAUCAAAAGGAUCAUACACCAUGAUCAACUGGGGUUUAUCCCAGGGAUGCAAGGAUUCUUGAAUAUACGCAAAUCAAUGUGAUACAUCACGUUAACAAGGAAUAAAAACCAUAUGAUCAUUUCAAUAGAUGCAGAAAAAGCUUUUGACAAAAUUCAACACCCAUUUAUGAUAAUAACUCUCCAGAAAAUGGGCAUAGAGGGAACCUACCUCAACAUAAUAAAGGCCAUAUAUGAUAAACCCACAGCAAGCAUCAUACUCAAUGGUGAGAGACUGAAAGCAUUUCCACUAAGAUCAGGAACAAGACAAGGAUGUCCACUCUCGCCACUCUUAUUCAACAUAGUUUUGGAAGUCCUAGCCACAACAAUCGGAGAAGAAAAAGAAAUAAAAGGAAUACAAAUUGGAAAAGAAGAAGUAAAACUGUCACUGUUUGCUGAUGACAUGAUAGUGUACAUAGAAAAUCAUAAAGGUGCCACCAGAACUCCAAUAAAGAUGUAAAAAAAAAAAAGAUGCCACCAGAAAACUACUAGAACUAAUCAAUGAAUUUGGUAAGGUUGCAGGAUACAAAAUUAAUGCACGGAAAUCUCUGGCAUUCCUAUACACCAACAAUGAAAAAUCAGAAAGAGAAAUUAAGGAAACACUCCCAUUUACCAUCGCAAGGAAAAGAAUAAAAUACCUAGGAAUAAACCUGCCUAAGGAGGUGAAAGACUCAUACUCAGAAAACUAUAAUAUACUAAUGAAGGAAAUCAAAGAUGACAUAAACAAAUGGAGUAAUAUACCAUGUUCUUGGAUUGGAAGAAUCAAUAUUGUGAAAAUGACUAUAGUACCCAAAACAAUCUACAGGUUCAAUGCAAUCCCUAUCAAACUACCAAUGGCAUUCUUCACAGAAUUAGAACAAAAAUCUUACAAUUCGUAUGGAAACACAAAAGACCCUGAAUAGCCAAAGCAAUCUUGAGAAAGAAAAACAGAGUUGGAGGAAUCAGGCUCCUCAACUUCAAACUAUACCACAAAGCUACAGUAAUUAAGACAGUAUGGUACUGGCACAAAAACAAAUAUAGAUCAAUGGUACAGGAUAGAAUGCCAGAGAUAAACCCACGGUCAUAUGGGCACCUAAUUUAUGACAAAGGAGUCAAGAACAUACAAUGGAGAAAAGACAGCCUCUUCAAUAAGUGGUGCUGGGGAAACUGGACGGCUACAUGUAAAAGAAUGAAAUUAGAACACUGCCUAACACCAUACACAAAAAUAAACUCCAAAUGGAUUAAAGACUUAAAUGUAAGACCAAACACUAUAAAACUCUUGGAGGAAUACAUAGGAAAAACGCUCUUUGACAUAAACCACAGCAAUAUCUUUUUUGACUCACCUCCUAGAGUAAUAGAAAUAAAAACAAAAAUAAACAAAUGGGACUUGAAACCUUUUGCACAGCAAAGGAAACCAUAAACAAGACAAAAAGACAACCCUCAGAAUGGGAGAAAAUAUUUGCAAAUGAAACAACAAAGGAUUAAUUUCCAAAAUAUACAAACAGCUUAUGGAGCUCAAUAUCAAAAAAACAAACAAUCCAGUUAAAAAAUGGGUGGAAGACCUAAAUAGACAUUUCACCAAGGAAGACAUACAGAUGGCCAAGAGGCACAUGAAAAGAUGCUCAACAUCACUUAUUACUAGAGAAAUGCAAAUCAAAACUAUGAUGAGGUAUCACCUCACACUGGUCAGAAUGGCCAUUAUCCAAAAAUCUCGAAAUAGUAAAUGCUGGAAAGGGUAUGGUGAGAAGGGAACCCUCUUGCACUGUUGGUGGGAAUGUAAAUUGAUACAGCCACUAUGGAGAACAGUAUGGAGGUUCCUUAAAAAACUAAAAAUAGAACUACCAUGUGACCCAGCAAUCCCACUACUGGGUAUAUACCCUGAGAAAAUCAUAAUUCAGAAAGAGACAUGUACCACAAUGUUCAUUGCAGCUCUAUUUACAAUAGCCAGGACAUGGAACCAACCUAAAUGUCCGUCGACAGAUGCAUGGAUAAAGAAGAUGUGGCACAUAUAUACAACGGAAUAUUACUUAGCCAUAAAAAGAAAUGAAAUUUAGUCAUUUGUAGUGAGGUGGAUGGACCUAGAGUCUGUCAUACAGAGUGAAGUAAGUCAGAAAGAGAAAAACAAAUACCGUAUGCUAACGCAUAUAUGUGGAAUCUAGGGAAAAAAAAAUUGGUACUGAAGUACCUAGUGGCACGGCAGGAAUAAAGAGGUAGACAUAGAGA
Long non-coding RNA from Physeter macrocephalus (sperm whale), 7906 nucleotides. RefSeq lists it as uncharacterized. The record is from RefSeq and is a predicted model, not a curated record. NCBI's taxonomy places the organism in Eukaryota, Metazoa, Chordata, Mammalia, Artiodactyla, Physeteridae. The transcript is spliced from 3 exons.